Tachysurus fulvidraco (yellow catfish) is the source of this 806-nucleotide long non-coding RNA. RefSeq lists it as uncharacterized. The transcript is spliced from 2 exons. The record is from RefSeq and is a predicted model, not a curated record. NCBI's taxonomy places the organism in Eukaryota, Metazoa, Chordata, Actinopteri, Siluriformes, Bagridae.
UUAAGAAUAUCGACUUUAAAACGAAAAGUCAUCAAGUCUGUUAACUGUUAAUACACGAUUCAUUCGCUAACGAUUUAUUUCAUGGUACAUUUGUCGUGCAAAAUGUCACAUAUAGUGUAAAUUAGUAGACGGGAAAAGGCCCCAAAAUACGAAACAGACGGAAGCAAAUUCACAGUCAUUUUAGUUCGUAAUGAACGGUCAGUAAUAAAUGGUAUAUAAUCAGUCAGAAAAGCUGAGUGUUUAUGAGACACUGUAUGAGUUUAAAUGCUCUAGAACUGUGGUGUAGAUAGAGCAGGAACCUGAGAGAGUGCACACAAAGUACAUAAGGCCGCUCCUCACUAAUCACACCGUGCCACGCGGCGUCGGCUCUCUGCUCGUCACUAAUCUGAGAUAAGCAAUAAACAAGACAUAUUUUUUUUCCAGUCCAGGAAAAAAAAAUAGUUUUUUAAGCAACUUUCAUUUCAUUUGAAAUUAAAAUUUUUCACCAUGGAGAUGACCUGGACCCGCCGCCCACAGGCCCACACCCACACAGCUACUCCUAGUCCUGCUGAAACCGUACAGAACUCUGCGUUGUGAUCGACUUGGACGCAAUCAGGAGGACUGGGGCAGUGCUCUGGCCCUGCGAAUCCCGAAUCCUGAAGGACAUCCAUCAAUCUGGAGGAAGUCUACACUGCUCAAACGUCAUUCUUACUCUCCAAUCUGUGGACAGACACACACACACACACACACACACACACACACACACACACACACACACACACACACACACACACACACAUGCACUGUGAAAGUGAGAAACUCCACAA